RNAcentral lists this long non-coding RNA (250 nucleotides) under Mytilus galloprovincialis (Mediterranean mussel). The record is from RNAcentral. Lineage: Eukaryota; Metazoa; Mollusca; Bivalvia; Mytilida; Mytilidae.
AUGACAUCAAAAGCACCAUUUUUUUAUGUUACUUUUAAAUACGUUCUAAAUUAAAGUGAUGGAAUUGGUGGUCUGACAUCUAUACAUAUUUUCCAUCUAUUGUCGACUUAAUCCACACAACUUACUAUUAUUUAUAUGAGGGAACAUUUCAAACAAAAAUUAGGAACCUCAAAAUACAGAAAAGUUUUUCUGAAACAUGCAUUUAAAAUUUACUCAGAUUAAAAUGUGUGGUGUGAAUACGGCCAUGUUA